This 21-nucleotide unclassified non-coding RNA is filed under the name Mus musculus (house mouse). Its description in RNAcentral is "oocyte_clustered_small_RNA13923". The record is from RNAcentral. Lineage: Eukaryota; Metazoa; Chordata; Mammalia; Rodentia; Muridae.
UUCACUGCCGAAGCUCAGCCC